UACGUAGGGUGCGAGCGUUGUCCGGAAUUAUUGGGCGUAAAGAGCUCGUAGGCGGCCUGUCGCGUCGGAUGUGAAAGCCCGGGGCUUAACCCCGGGUCUGCAUUCGAUACGGGCAGGCUAGAGUGCGGUAGGGGAGAUCGGAAUUCCUGGUGUAGCGGUGAAAUGCGCAGAUAUCAGGAGGAACACCGGUGGCGAAGGCGGAUCUCUGGGCCAUUACUGACGCUGAGGAGCGAAAGCGUGGGGAGCGAACAGG
Molecule: ribosomal RNA, 253 nt
Filed under: uncultured bacterium
Lineage: Bacteria
Description: partial 16S ribosomal RNA
Rfam family: Bacterial small subunit ribosomal RNA
Source: RNAcentral